Rattus norvegicus (Norway rat) is the source of this 4635-nucleotide non-coding RNA. Lineage: Eukaryota; Metazoa; Chordata; Mammalia; Rodentia; Muridae. The record is from RefSeq and is a predicted model, not a curated record.
CAUAUGUAUUUGAGUUUAGAAGCUAUGCUUAUGUAUCUGAUUAAGGAACUGGGAGUGUUUCUUACCCAGUUGGCUAUGAAGAGUAUCAUCUUCAAGUAGGAUCUUGAGGACCAGUGAGCUGGCUUAGUGAGGACCAGUGAGUGGCUUUGCCACCAAGUACGAUGACCUGAGUUCAAUCCUUGGGACUCACAUAAUAGCAGGAGAAAACUGAUUCUCACAAGUUGUCCUCUGACUUCCACAUGUGGGUACACACACACACACACACACACACACACACACACACACACGCACGCACGCACGCACGCACGCACACACACACACACACACACACACACACACACCACACACACACCAAAAUGUAAUUAAAAAAUAAGUGCUAUCUUGAGACAGUCACUUUUUAUUUUAAAGAUGUGAGACACUCAAGAGAAAUUAUAAGCUCAGAUCCAAGGAACUGAGGGAAGAUGGAGUAAAAAGAGGAGGAGUCAUGCUGCACAGAAGGGGAAUGAACUUUAAAACAACAGUCUGGGGAAGGAAAGCAGGUCUAGAUUGAGAAAUAUUUUAGUUUUGGAGACUGAGGGAGAUUAAUCGGGAGACAGCGUUGGUUCUUUUCAAAAUUGGAUGCAAAAAUGCCUCCCAGAGAGUGGAGGUAACUUGUUGCCAGGGAGAAGGCCCACAGAGAUUGUGGAGUGUGGAAUCUUGCUGCAGAACACAAGGGGAGAACGCUGACUGCAGAAUGAGGCCAGACCAGCUGAGAUCAAGAACUGCGUGUUCGAAAUGGCUACUCUCCAUAGUUGUGUGAGCCCUGCCCUCCAUCCUGAGAAGCACGGAUCUUGGCUUCUUGGCUUCCAGAAUUUAAGCACAAAUACAGGAUGUGGCAGAAGAGUGUGGGAGCAGAGGAUGGCAACAUUCUGCUGGUCUGGCCUGGUCUAGAUGAGCUCUUAGGACAAUCCUUUGCUUUUGGCUGAAUGACAUCAUAACUGGGCAAUAGUGCUAUACUCUUAUCCACUGUUGAGGACCGUGAUUGGCUGUCAAAGGCUUCAUUUCUGGAACCUACACGGCGGCAGAGAGCGGCCAGUAUUCUCUGAUCGAUUAGUUGGAGCUAACCACUGCCAGGCGGGCUGCUGCGGUCCAGCACACACCCCAGCUGAGCAAAGAUGGUGAGUUGGAACAGCGCCAUUGCUGCGGGCAUGUGCGGUGCCCUCUUCAUCCGGUAUUGCACCUACUUUGACCGCAAAAGGCGGAAUAACCUUAACUUCAAGAACAGGCUUUGAGAACGAAGACAAAUUCUCAACUAUUCUCACAAAAAUUUUUGCUAAGAUUAGAGGAAGAAACAGAAAGCUUGCAGAGUAGAUAUGUUAUAAUUAGAAACAAUGUAGGACUUUAUUAUGGAUGUAAACAUGGGUAGCCCAGUUUCAGGAAAUCGGAUGAUGGCAAUAGCAGUCAUAUUCAGCCACUGUUGACUCAGUAAUAUCAAAUCCUGGUUUUACUUACAGUCUUCAGUUUGUAAUUGUGGGCUUACAUUCAUCAAGGUGAGAGGAGGCCCAAUAUAACAGUUAGUGUGAUUCGCAGCUUUCAAAUGUUUAAGCACAUUGUACAUUGGGCCCAUUUAGACUCCUGCCUUGGCACACAUUAGGUCUUGGUCAUAGUGUGAGGUUCAAAUGUAAAACUGAAGGCUGCUGAGAUUAACACCCACACUUUUGAUUGUUUCCUCAUCUUUCUUUCCCUUCACCCUUAUGUGGAUCAGGGAGGCAGAUUGCAUAGCUAACGGCUAGGAUUUCUGUCCUUACACUCCACUGCUGAGAUAGAAGAUAACAAGGACACCUACAUACUGCAGCCCACCGGUGAAGUAGAACAUUCCAGUGCCCCCAAGAAGGGAAUGGCGAAAGGCUGAGCUCCCUGAGGCGGAGGACUUGUAGAGGUGACUUUUCUUUUUCCUAGAGAUCUAUCUUGUAGGUCAUGAGGUGUUUUUAAGAGUGAAACAUGAGUUAAGCUUGGAGGAUAAGUAGUAAGCACUCUUUGUUCUGAGAAGGCAUAGAAACAUCUAGUCUGGGAACGCAGUUAUAAGUAGGGUGUGAAGGUAUAUAUACAUACAUACAUAUAUAUACAUAUACAUACAUACAUACACACACACACACACACACACACACACACACACACACACACACACACAUAUAUAUAUAUAUAUAUAUAUAUGAGACAAGAGAAAAAGAACAGCAGAGGAGAGACGAUGAGUCUGGAGGAAUUGGAAAUUGGAAGGUGUGUUGGAGAAAAGGGCGGAAUGCAGUGGAUAAAAUAGGGAGGGCCUCAGCUGAUGCAGGAGCCUGGGAAAAACACUAUUCUCAGGUUACGUGGGGAGCAUGUGGGAGAGGGAGGAUGAGGGAGACGUUGGAAAAUAGAGAUUUCAUGGGUGAUUGUGAAUUGUUAUAAUUGGUUUCAAUCAGGCAAAACAAAGCAGAUGAUUAAGACGGUGUCCACUUAUGAGAAAUCUGCAUUUUAGUAUCUGGAUAUCUCCACAGCAAGCCGAAAGCAGGCACACUACCCACCUCACAGCCAGAUUCUUGCUCCAAAGACAUUUUUAAGAGCCAAUUUUCUGAGUGUCUUUGCUUAGCUAUAAAGAAAGCAAAGGGCAGCAGGAAGGGUGAGGGCCAGGAAAAUUUGAGAUGAUUUUUCCCCUUGUUAUAUAAUGAAACUUAAAAAAAAUGAGAUAAGACCAUCAGUCAAUCAGUUUCUUUGAUUCUGAGCCAAGUCAAGAUAUUCUCAGUUCUGUUUGCUCAUUUUUAAAGUGUUUACUGUGAGCAAAUUCUCAUCUGCUUAGCUCCUCCUCCUGGAAAGAUAUUUAUGCUCACAAGAAAAUCUAUCACCGGUCAAAAAAUAUCUUGUGAGGUUGAGAAGGUAAGCAGUAUUUAUGAAAAUGAAUACUUUAGGGCCAAGUAGUAGUUGUUUAGGCUUUUAAUCCCAUUACUUGGGAGGCAGAGGCAGGUGGCCCUCUGUGAGUUCUAGGACAGCAGGGUCUACAGAAUCAGCUCCAGGACAGCCAGGACUUUAUAGAGAGACCUUGUCUCACAAAGCAAAGCAAAGCAAAGCAAAGCAAAGCAAAGCAAAGCAAAGCAAAGCAAAGCAAAGCAAAGCAAAGAAGCAAAGCAAAGCAAAGCAAAGCAAAGCAAAGCAAAGCAAAAAGCAAAGCAAAGCAAAGCAAAGCAAAGCAAAGCAAAGCAACAAAGCAAAACCAAAUAAAACACACUUAAAAAUCCAUGAACUUUAUCUCCAGUAACGUCUCCUAGCCCUAAUGAAGCUGUUGGGGAAUGUUUGCAGAGGAAGUUGUAGUCCCGAAUUCUCUUCCUUCAUACAACACAGUGCAGCCUUGGACUGACCUUGUUAAUGAAAGGCAUCAGGCAACACACACCUACACCCCUCUCUAGUGAGACAUAGGCACCCCUGUAUCCCGGGGUCUAACUCAGCUUUCUUUCCAGACGUGUCGUUCUGGCCGACUCCCUCUGCUCAACUGCUAUGUUCCAUUUAGCCCAUUAUCUGAGAUCCACUUAUUUACCUAUUCAACUCUACCAAGCAUUCAUUUAUGCCCAACAGGAAAGUUGGUCAGCUGUAGUCCAUUGGUUACACAUUUUAUUUUUGCCUUUGAUCUUAGAGUCCGUGUUUCCACAUUCUAUAAGUUAUAUCCCUACUCUUUUACUGAUGUUGCUGAGGUCAGAGGUCACCUUUGGGAAUUCUUUUCUCCUUCCACCAUUUGGCUGCCAGAGAUUGAACUCAGGCUAUGAGUUUUGUAAAGGUAAAAGUACCUUUCCCUGAUGAGCCAUCUUGUCAGCCCAAAUUUUAACACAUCUGCACUCAUGAAGCUUCUGUAUUUGUGCUAUAAACUUAUCUGUGUAUUUGACAAAUAGUGUUACUUAUCAUUGUAAUGUCAGAUAGAAUAACUUUGCCACCUUAAUAAAUACCCUCCUUGCCCCCCUCCUCUUUAGACUUCCCUCUUUACCUUGAACAUUCUGAAAUAAUCACACACUGAUUUUUAAACAACCUUUAUGUUUUAUCUUUUAUGAGAUGCCAUAUGGUUAGUAUUUAAAGAUUUUGUUUAUUUUAAAGUAUGAGUUUAUGUAUGCAUAGGGUGUAUAUGAUUGCAGUACCCACAGCUGCCAGAAGAGGGCACCCUAUGAGUUAAAGAUGAUUGUGAACCCCCUGGCAUGGGUGCUGGGAAAUGAACUCUGGUUCUUCGUAAGACCAAUACAGGUUUUUAACUGCUGGGCCUUCUUUCCUGCCCUAGAUGUCAUAUAGUUGGAACUGUGCAGCAAUAAGUGUCUUCAAUCACUUGGAAGCAACAUUUGUCAGCAACAACUUGGUAUUCAUUUUUUUCUCUGCUGUUUGUAAUCACUGAAUUUUUUUUAAAUUUUAAUUUUUAAUAUAUUUGUAUGUUUGCAUAUGCAUGUAUGUUCACCACAUGUGUUCCAUACCCAUCAAGUCCAGAAAAGGACAUUAGAUUCUUUGAAUUAAGUCACAGACAGUUGUGAGCUGCCCGUGGGUAUUGGGGACCAAACCAUGGUCCUGUGUAAGAACAGCCACUGAGCCAUCUCUCCCAAACCCUGUGAUCAUUCUUUUCAGGACAGCUGUGAGCUUUUUCUCCUAAAC